GUAAAGAGAAGAUUUGUUCGAACUUCAUGGGCUGAAAGGCUUCAUGAUUUGUCGCAAGGGACGCUCAAUCCCUUGCAUAUGAUGGGUUUGCCUAACCGCGCCCUCGAACCGAUCUCGAGAAGCUGGUCUUUUUGUGCCAAUGACAUCGGAUCAAAUCCCGCACAGGAUUUGAUCCAGGCGACAAUCCUUCGGAUUGCGCGGACGCUAAACUCGCAAGGGUCUGGCUGAAGCGACAAUCCCUUCGGGAUUGCGCGGAUGGGCAUUGGCAAUGAGAACGAUCAAGUGUCUUAAGGGCAAUUGGUGGAUGCCUUGGCAUGCACAGGCGAUGAAGGACGUGAUACGCUGCGAUAAGCUACGGGGAGGUGCGAAUACCCUUUGAUCCGUAGAUUUCCGAAUGGGGAAACCCACCUAAGGUACUUGGAAAAUCAGAGCAGCAGGGUGACUUGCUGCUGUGGUUUCCAAGUAUCGAUAAUAGGUAACUUACCCUGAAUACAUAGGGGUAAAGUGGCGAACGCGGGGAACUGAAACAUCUAAGUACCCGUAGGAAAGGACAUCAACCGAGACUCCGGAAGUAGUGGCGAGCGAACCCGGACCAGGCCAGUGGCGAUUGAGAGACAAGCGGAACCUUCUGGAAAGUAGGGCCAUAGUGGGUGACAGCCCCGUACGCGUAAUGCAAUCAAUCGUCCUCGAGUAAGGCGGGACACGUGAAAUCCUGUCUGAAAUUGGGGGGACCACCCUCCAAGCCUAAGUACUCGUGCAUGACCGAUAGCGAACUAGUACCGUGAGGGAAAGGUGAAAAGCACCCCGACAAGGGGAGUGAAAGAGUACCUGAAACCGAUUGCCUACAAACAGUGGGAGCCCGCAAGGGUGACCACGUACCUUUUGUAUAAUGGGUCAGCGACUUAGUGUGACGAGCAAGCUUAAACCGCUAGGUGUAGGCGCAGCGAAAGCGAGUCUGAACAGGGCGUUCAGUUCGUCGCAUUAGACCCGAAACCGAGUGAUCUAGCCAUGAGCAGGUUGAAGGUAAGGUAACACUUACUGGAGGACCGAACCCAUAACUGUUGCAAUAGUUCGGGAUGACUUGUGGCUAGGGGUGAAAGGCCAAUCAAACUCGGAAAUAGCUGGUUCUCCGCGAAAUCUAUUUAGGUAGAGCGUCGACCGAAUACCCCAGGGGGUAGAGCACUGGAUGGGCUAGGGGUCCUCACCGGAUUACCAAACCUAACCAAACUCCGAAUACCUGGGAGUACUAGUCGGCAGACACACGGCGGGUGCUAACGUCCGUCGUGAAAAGGGAAACAACCCUGACCUACAGCUAAGGUCCCCAAGUUAUGGCUAAGUGGGAAAGGAUGUGAGGAUCCCAAAACAACCAGGAUGUUGGCUUAGAAGCAGCCAUCAUUUAAAGAAAGCGUAACAGCUCACUGGUCUAAAUAAGGGUCUUUGCGCCGAAAAUGUAACGGGGCUAAAGCCAUACACCGAAGCUUAGGGUUCGUGAGCAAUCACGAGCGGUAGCGGAGCGUUCUGUAAGCUGAUGAAGCCAUACCCGUGAGGGGUGGUGGAGGUAUCAGAAGUGCGAAUGCUGACAUGAGUAACGUAAGGGGAGUGAGAGACUCCCCCGCCGAAAGACCAAGGGUUCCUGCUUAAAGCUAAUCUGAGCAGGGUUAGCCGGCCCCUAAGACGAGGCGGAAACGCGUAGUCGAUGGGAACCACGUUAAUAUUCGUGGGCUUGGAGGUAGUGACGGAUCAUUGAGGUAGUCCAAUCUUAUCGGAUUGAACGGGCUGCUGCGUGGUUCCAGGAAAUAGCUCCUCCUUAUAAACCGUACCCGAAACCGACACUGGUGGUCUGGUAGAGUAUACCAAGGCGCUUGAGAGAACUAUGCUGAAGGAACUCGGCAAAUUGCACGCGUAACUUCGGAAGAAGCGUGACCCUUUUCCACGCAAGUGGAGGAGGGUGGCACAGACCAGGGGGUAGCGACUGUUUAUCAAAAACACAGGGCUCUGCGAAGUCGCAAGACGACGUAUAGGGUCUGACGCCUGCCCGGUGCUGGAAGGUUAAGAGGAGGGGUGCAAGCUCUGAAUCGAAGCCCCAGUAAACGGCGGCCGUAACUAUAACGGUCCUAAGGUAGCGAAACGGCCCGCCUGGCUCAAACCAGCGGGCCGUUUUGCGUUUGGAGCCAACGUCGCCAACGGCUGCCUCCCGCCCAGCGGCCCGCAAGCAGACAAAACCGAAGCCGCACGACAGAUAAGCCAAAUCCCUCUCCCCAAAACCAAACCAAAAUCGGCCCGCCUGGCUCGAACCAGCGGGCCGUUUUGCAUUCGAGCCCAAUGGAAGAACGCCCGGCAACGACCGAAGCGAACAGCGAAAGCCGAAUCGGAGCGGCGACCGCAACCAAAUGCGAAGUGAAUUUAGCAGGCGGGGGCUACUGUCUCGGCCAGCCUCAGUGCUCGUCGGCUCGCUUUUAUGACGGAGAGUGGAUCGUCGGAGUUGUCGAUCGCGGGCCUGGUUGCGUAUUCCGACGAAGCCGGCCAUCGAUUCCGAUUUGAAGGAUGAGAGCCAAAUGAAUUUGGUCGGCGGGCCUCUUUUCUCAGCCGACUUCGAUGCUCGUCGUCCCGCCUGCAUGACGAGAACUGGUCUUCAUACCGGAAUGGUGGCCGGUGUUUGAUCGGAAUGGCGGCCGGCUUCACGUCGGAAUCCGCACCUGGUUCCUCGAUCGCGCCGGCGUCAACGGAUCUGGGGCGAUAUCUCGGUUGUGCAGAAUCGGCGAAUCAAGCCCUGCGGAAUAAUCCGAAUCAAAGGCAGAGUACCGCCG
RNAcentral lists this ribosomal RNA (2807 nucleotides) under Mesorhizobium huakuii 7653R. Its description in RNAcentral is "bacterial LSU rRNA". The stretch from base 278 to 2243 matches the Rfam family "Bacterial large subunit ribosomal RNA". The record is from RNAcentral. Lineage: Bacteria; Pseudomonadati; Pseudomonadota; Alphaproteobacteria; Hyphomicrobiales; Phyllobacteriaceae.